Molecule: ribosomal RNA, 1320 nt
Filed under: uncultured Pseudomonas sp.
Lineage: Bacteria; Pseudomonadati; Pseudomonadota; Gammaproteobacteria; Pseudomonadales; Pseudomonadaceae
Description: bacterial SSU rRNA
Rfam family: Bacterial small subunit ribosomal RNA
Source: RNAcentral
CAUGCAAGUCGAGCGGCAGCACGGGUACUUGUACCUGGUGGCGAGCGGCGGACGGGUGAGUAAUGCCUAGGAAUCUGCCUGGUAGUGGGGGAUAACGCUCGGAAACGGACGCUAAUACCGCAUACGUCCUACGGGAGAAAGCAGGGGACCUUCGGGCCUUGCGCUAUCAGAUGAGCCUAGGUCGGAUUAGCUAGUUGGUGAGGUAAUGGCUCACCAAGGCGACGAUCCGUAACUGGUCUGAGAGGAUGAUCAGUCACACUGGAACUGAGACACGGUCCAGACUCCUACGGGAGGCAGCAGUGGGGAAUAUUGGACAAUGGGCGAAAGCCUGAUCCAGCCAUGCCGCGUGUGUGAAGAAGGUCUUCGGAUUGUAAAGCACUUUAAGUUGGGAGGAAGGGCAUUAACCUAAUACGUUAGUGUUUUGACGUUACCGACAGAAUAAGCACCGGCUAACUCUGUGCCAGCAGCCGCGGUAAUACAGAGGGUGCAAGCGUUAAUCGGAAUUACUGGGCGUAAAGCGCGCGUAGGUGGUUCGUUAAGUUGGAUGUGAAAUCCCCGGGCUCAACCUGGGAACUGCAUUCAAAACUGUCGAGCUAGAGUAUGGUAGAGGGUGGUGGAAUUUCCUGUGUAGCGGUGAAAUGCGUAGAUAUAGGAAGGAACACCAGUGGCGAAGGCGACCACCUGGACUGAUACUGACACUGAGGUGCGAAAGCGUGGGGAGCAAACAGGAUUAGAUACCCUGGUAGUCCACGCCGUAAACGAUGUCAACUAGCCGUUGGGAGCCUUGAGCUCUUAGUGGCGCAGCUAACGCAUUAAGUUGACCGCCUGGGGAGUACGGCCGCAAGGUUAGAAACUCAAAUGAAUUGACGGGGGCCCGCACAAGCGGUGGAGCAUGUGGUUUAAUUAGAAGCAACGCGAAGAACCUUACCAGUGCCUAGUCAUGACAAUGAACUUUCCAGAGAUGGAUUGGUGCGUUCGGGAACAUUGAGACAGGUGCUGCAUGGCUGUCGUCAGCUUGCGUCGUGAGUUGUGGGGUUAAGUCCGGUAACGAGCGCAACCUUAUUCUUUAGUUACCAGCACGUUUUGUUGGGCAGUUGAAGGAGACUGCCGCCGACAAACUGGUGGAAGGUGGGGAUGUCGUCAAGUCAUCAUGGCCCUUAUGGCCUGGGCUACACACGUGGUACAAUGGUGGGUACAGAGGGUUGUCAAGCCGUGAGGUGGAGCUAAUCCCACAAAACCGAUGGUAGUCUGGAUCGCAGUCUGCAACUCGACUGCGUGAAGUCGGAAUCGCUAGUAAUCGCGAAUCAGAAGUACGCGGUA